AUUUAAAUAGUUUAAUUAAAAUAUUGAUUUGUGGAGUCAAUGAAAUAAUAAAUAAAAAUAAUUAUUUUAAAUA
Molecule: transfer RNA, 73 nt
Filed under: Pseudolycoriella hygida
Lineage: Eukaryota; Metazoa; Arthropoda; Insecta; Diptera; Sciaridae
Description: Bradysia hygida tRNA-His
Source: RNAcentral